GGGCACACGCCAGGAAAUCAAAAGGUGCAAAGGUGCCCGUUCGAAAGCUCUGGCGGCGUGCGCAGAGAUUGCGUCAUUCAAGAAGAAAUGGAGCUCUCUCCUCUGAUGGCCGAAGACAGGCUCAUGUUCUGGCUGACGUGCAUGUUUUUUGAAUACACAAUUGAAAAUUGAC
This is a long non-coding RNA of Dermacentor albipictus, 172 nucleotides long. RefSeq lists it as uncharacterized. NCBI's taxonomy places the organism in Eukaryota, Metazoa, Arthropoda, Arachnida, Ixodida, Ixodidae. The record is from RefSeq and is a predicted model, not a curated record.